Peromyscus eremicus (cactus mouse) is the source of this 1304-nucleotide long non-coding RNA. RefSeq lists it as uncharacterized. The record is from RefSeq and is a predicted model, not a curated record. NCBI's taxonomy places the organism in Eukaryota, Metazoa, Chordata, Mammalia, Rodentia, Cricetidae. The transcript is spliced from 4 exons.
CCUAACAAUUGAAGAUGUAAUAAUUGCAUGAGCUUUGCCAACAUGACAUCAAAAGCUGUGCCACACUCAUGCUCUGGCGUCUCCUGCCUGGGAAGUCAUUUGAGCAGGAGGCCGGAUGAAGAGCAUCCUUUGCUGCUGCCACCUUCUUUCUGCAGAGGCAGUUCUCAGCGCAGGAAUGGCAGCCAUGAGGCAGAGGCAGGAGCGCUGUAGACACCAUGGCAGCAGGCUAGUUUUACAAACUACUCCUGCAAGAUUUUCUUCUUUGUUUUAGUCAUCAGCCUUCAUACGAUUCUGUAAAUAAGUAUUUUCCAGAAAGGACUUCUGCUUAAGUCAACAAAUUUCUUCUACUUCCAAUGAGAAGUCAGAGCCACUGCCCAUAACCAUAAAGGUAAACAUGUGUUAUUAACUACCACAGCAUCUACAAAGAAAAGAUGUUUAAAAAUACUCUAGGAGAGCUGGAGAAAUGGUUAAGAUCACAGGCUGCUCUUGCAGAGGACCCAGGUUUAAGAGCACCCACAUGGCAGUUCACAAGCACCUGUAACUCCAUGGGAUUCCAUUCUCUCUUCUGGCCUCUGAAGGCACUGUAUUCAUGGUACAGAGAUAUGUGCAGCAUCUGACUCUUUCCCAAGCCUGGAUCUCCAACAAUCAGGAUGUGUGGGUCUCCUCGAAUGGGAAUCCUGUUUUUGUCAUCUGCGUACUUCUGGCUACCGCCAAAGAGUGCUAACAUCAAACCUGCUUUAACAAGCUUGUGUGGAAGAAGAGAACAAAAAAGAAAAAUAUCAAGAUGACUAGCAAGAGGCAUUCCUGCAUGGUUACAGCAUGACCUGUCUGUCUGGAGACGACUUCCCCUUCAGAGUGCUGAUGGAGCCCAAGGCUUGGUAUCUAAUUAGUCAGAUGCUCCACUCCUAAGCUAUACCACCAGCCAGGAUACUUUUAAACAUAACUGAACUUUAUUAUUUUUUUUUUUACAAUGAAGUCAAGAAACAAAGCCAGGCAUGUCUCAAAAACCAAAAACAUCUAGAAACAAACUUCUAUAACAUAAAUGAUUAAAAAUGAAGACUAAAAGUAUAUAAAUCAGUGGUAUCUUAGAAACUGCUAAGAGCAACUUUGUAUGGCAACAAUCCAUUCCCAAUUGAGAAGCACCUAUUGGAGCCUACUUUAACUUGGUGUCUAAUUACUUUGUCUAUCUGCCAUAGGUGUCCAUUCCCAGUAAUUGUCGACAGGUCCAGGGGGCCAUUAUUUGCCUCCCACAUAAUCAACUUAUAGAGAAUGAUGAUUCAUAUUAAAAUAUUAAUAACUGGUAA